AAUCUUCGGGGCAGAGUGAAACUCUCUACCGGCGGUAAAGUCCGCAAGCCAUGAGCAUGAAUCGGUGGAAUUCCGAUACCGACGGUAAAAGUCCGGAUGAAAGAAGAU
RNAcentral lists this non-coding RNA (108 nucleotides) under human gut metagenome. Its description in RNAcentral is "FMN riboswitch (RFN element)". It matches the Rfam family "FMN riboswitch aptamer (RFN element)". Rfam says of the family: The RFN element is a highly conserved domain that is found frequently in the 5'-untranslated regions of prokaryotic mRNAs that encode for flavin mononucleotide (FMN) biosynthesis and transport proteins. This element is a metabolite-dependent riboswitch that directly binds FMN in the absence of proteins. The record is from RNAcentral.